GAUGAAGAACGUAGCGAAAUGCGAUACGUAAUGUGAAUUGCAGAUUUCAGUGAAUCAUCGAAUCUUUGAACGCACAUUGCGCCCGCUAGUAUUCUGGCGGGCAUGCCUGUUCGAGCGUCAUUUCAACCAUCAAGCCCUAGGCUUGCGUUGGAGCCCUGCGGCUGCCGCAGGCUCCCAAAUCCAGUGGCGGGCUCGUCGUCGUACCGAGUGCAGUAAACAUCCUCGCUCAGGGAACGUGACGGGUUCUUGCCGUGAAACUCCCCACAUAUCAAGGUUGACCUCGGAUCAGGUAGGAAUACCCGCUGAACUUAAGCAUAUCAAUAAGCGGAGGA
This 332-nucleotide unclassified non-coding RNA is filed under the name soil metagenome. RNAcentral describes it as "partial contains 5.8S ribosomal RNA, internal transcribed spacer 2, and large subunit ribosomal RNA". The stretch from base 1 to 120 matches the Rfam family "5.8S ribosomal RNA", at positions 35 to 154 of the family's 154-position model. The record is from RNAcentral.